Molecule: small RNA, 63 nt
Organism: Bacillus manliponensis
Lineage: Bacteria; Bacillati; Bacillota; Bacilli; Caryophanales; Bacillaceae
Rfam family: Bacillus sRNA ncr1241
Source: Rfam
CACAUGGCUUUCUAGUAUUCCCCCCCUUUUAUGGACAAAACGUAUUCUGUUUUGUCCUUUUUU